CUUGACCGAGCCGAGCCACAGCGGCUCGUCCGUCCUGCUCUGCCCGUACGUGUUGAGCAGCGCCUGCGCCUC
RNAcentral lists this antisense RNA (72 nucleotides) under Streptomyces sp. S4.7. RNAcentral describes it as "ASpks TB sRNA". It matches the Rfam family "ASpks TB sRNA". Lineage: Bacteria; Bacillati; Actinomycetota; Actinomycetes; Kitasatosporales; Streptomycetaceae. The record is from Rfam by way of RNAcentral.